Molecule: ribosomal RNA, 255 nt
Filed under: uncultured bacterium
Lineage: Bacteria
Description: partial 16S ribosomal RNA
Rfam family: Bacterial small subunit ribosomal RNA
Source: RNAcentral
UACGUAGGGUGCAAGCGUUUGUCCGGAAUUAUUGGGCGUAAAGAGCUCGUAGGCGGUUUGUCGCGUCGGCUGUGAAAACCUGGGGCUCAACCCCGGGCCUGCAGCCGAUACGGGCAAACUAGAAUUCGGUAGGGGAGACUGGGAAUUCCUGGUGUAGCGGUGAAAUGCGCAGAUAUCAGGAGGAACACCGGUGGCGAAGGCGGGUCUCUGGGCCGAUAUUGACGCUGAGGAGCGAAAGCGUGGGGAGCAAACAGG